Molecule: RNA transcript, 5724 nt
Organism: Gopherus flavomarginatus (Mexican gopher tortoise)
Lineage: Eukaryota; Metazoa; Chordata; Testudines; Testudinidae
Gene name: G protein-coupled receptor kinase 5-like
Exons: 17
Source: RefSeq, a predicted model, not a curated record
UAAACUUUGCUGCCUUCUCUCAUGCACGCACACUGGGGAUUCUUGCUCUGCACCGGGACACAGGCCCAAUGCUGAUGCGGAGCAGCCUGAAGGAAAGAGCGAGAGGUGGAGGGAAGCGGAAAGGGAGGAGUAAGAAAUGGAAAGAGAUCCUCAGAUUCCCACACAUCAGCCAGUGUGAUGACCUUCGGAAAGGCCUGGAAAGGGAAUACAGCAGCCUGUGUGACAAGCAGCCCAUCGGCCGGCUCCUCUUCCGUCAGUUCUGCGAGAGGCGGCCAGAGCUGCAGCGCUGCAUCCACUUCCUGGAUGCUGUGAUCGAUUAUGAGCUCUCCCCGGAUGAGCGGCGCAAGGAGAUGGGCGACGAGAUCAUCCGAAGGUUCUUUAAAAGCGAGUCUUCAGACUAUAUGCCGGAAAUCAGUCAGGCCCUCAUGAACCAGUGCAUGGAGAACCUGCAGAAAAGUGCCUGUAAAGACCUCUUCAGCAGCUGUCUGCACCCUAUGCAUGAGUACCUGAGCGGCGCGCCCUUCGCCGACUAUCGGGACAGCAUGUAUUUCGACCGGUUCCUGCAGUGGAAGUACUUGGAAAGGCAGUCGGUGACCAAGGACACUUUCCGGCAGUACCGAAUCCUGGGCAAGGGGGGCUUUGGAGAGGUCUGUGCCUGCCAGGUACGAGCGACAGGCAAGAUGUACGCCUGCAAGAAACUGGAGAAGAAGCGGAUCAAGAAGCGGAAAGGGGAGGCCAUGGCCCUGAAUGAGAAGCAGAUCCUGGAGAAAGUCAACAGCAGGUUUGUGGUCAGCCUGGCCUACGCCUACGAGACGAAGGAUGCACUCUGCCUGGUGCUGACCAUCAUGAACGGGGGCGACCUCAAGUUCCACAUCUACAACAUGGGCAACCCCGGCUUCGAGGAUGAACGUGUCAUCUUCUACGCCGCCGAGAUCUGCUGCGGGCUGCAGCACCUGCACCAGGAGGGCAUUGUCUACAGGGAUCUGAAGCCGGAGAACAUCCUGCUGGAUGAUGACGGUGAGUGGGGAACACCCGGGGGGAGCUGCCAGUGUCUACAUGGCCCCUUCCCAGGACAUAUCCGGAUCUCGGACCUCGGGUUGGCCAUUAAAAUUCCAGAGGGCGAGAUGAUCCGUGGCCGUGUCGGGACUGUCGGCUACAUGGCUCCAGAGGUGAUUAACAACGAGCGCUACACCUUCAGCCCAGACUGGUGGGGGCUGGGCUGCCUGAUCUACGAGAUGAUCGAGGGGCAGUCGCCGUUCCGUGCCCGCAAGGAGAGGGUGAAGCGGGAGGAGGUGGAGAAGCGGGUGCAGGAGGAGCAGGAGCUGUAUUCUGACAAGUUCACCGAGGACACCAAGGCCAUCUGCAAGAUGCUCCUGACCAAGGACCCGAAGCAGCGACUGGGCUGCGAGGAGGAUGGGGCCGCCCAGGUGAAGCAGCAUCCGUUCUUCAGGACCAUCAACUUCAAGCGCCUGGAGGCCGGGGUCAUAAAGCCAUCGUUUGUGCCAGAUCCUCGUGCCGUGUACUGCAAGGACGUGCUGGACAUCGAGCAGUUCUCCACCGUCAAGGGCGUCAACCUGGACCAAACGGACAGUGAUUUCUAUGCCAAAUUCGCCACGGGCAGCGUCUCCAUCCCCUGGCAGAAUGAGAUGAUAGAGACCGAGUGCUUUAAAGACCUGAAUGUGUUUGGACCAAAUGGGAUGCGCUCCCCAGAUCUGGACUGGAAGCAGCUCCCCGAGCCGCCCAAGCGCAGCCUGCUUCAGCGGCUCUUCCGGCGGCACCCAGCUGACUACACCAUCAGCACCAACACACACUCCAACCUCACUGCGGGCGUGAACUCACAUCCUCCCACGGCCAACUCCGUCUGCCAAGGCCGGGCCAUGGCACAGGUGCCUUCCUGAUCCUCCCUUCUACCAUGGAGACCCUGCUCCGUUAGAGCCAGCACAGGCAGGCCCGGAGCUCGCUCGUGGAGCUGCCAUCCUUGCCUUCUCAGGGUUACCGUGGAUGUGAAGCUGAGGCUGUUGGAGCCAGAGCUGGGGUGAAGGGGCUGUUCCAUCACCCUGUCCUGCUGGGCUGAGUCACUCAUGGAGGCUGGGUGGGAAGAUGCAGCCCCACCCCCCCGCAGGACUGCGUGCCAGAUACUCUCGCUGCACCUCAUUCCAUCCGCUUGCCUCUGGGUACCGCCUCCAGAGCUGGCUCAGUCCUGCUCCCAGAGGCGCAUCGCGCUGGCACAGCCACAUGCCAAACACAGACUGCACAAGGGAGCCUGGAUCGCUCUGCACGCGCGAGAGAGGGUGGAAUUGGCGUUCAUUGGCACCAAUAGCUUCCUUGCCGUGCUCAGUGGGGUGGCCUCCCACUCUGCCCCCGCGGUUCCUGCUGCGAACCCUGCCCUGGGAGGUACUGUCGGCAUUGUGCCCACCCUGCAUCUGUCAGGAGAAGGGUGCUCCCUGCUUGUGUGUCUCCCCUGUCUGCAGGGUUUGGGAGAGAGGAGAAGUGGGGCUCACAGCCCAGGUGGGAGCCCCUAGCUGCUCAGGCUGAACAGGGGCCAGCCAUAGCCAGCUGCCUGCAGAGACCAGGGGACAAGUGUGCAGUGUGUUUUGUAGCUGCUUGGCCCCUUUCAGUCCAGGCAGGAUCUUUCCUUUUCUAGCACCGCCCCGCCCCCACCAAGAGCACCAAUAGAGGGGCUCAGCCAGCCAUGUCCUGCCAGCGCAGAGGAAUCUGGAGUUAUGGUUUGUAAAGAAGGGCAAAAUUGUCUGAACUGAAGGUGGAGAUCAUGUGACUGAACUCUCCACCUUGCUGCUCACCUCUGGUGGGGAUGCGAGUCAGGAUUGAGGGGCACCAGUAGAGCUCUGGGCUGGGGGGUCCCAGGGCUGGGAUGGGCGGGGGCUUGUGGGUCAGGAUUGAGGGGUGCCAGUGAAGCUCUGACCUGGGGGGUCCCAGGGCUGGGAUAGCAGAGGGGCUGUGGGUCAGGAUUGAAGGGCACGAGCAGGGUUGGGGGAGCCCAGGCCAGGGGAGCAAGGAGACUCUGUCUGAGUGGGGUAGGACCCAGGGGUCCUUUAAUUUGGGGUCAUGAAGGCCAUCAGUCAGUUGCACCCACUCCCCCUUGUUGGAGAGAAUUGGUGAAGGGAGCAAUGACCAAACUCGGUCUCUGAGCAGGGGAGGGAAGAGAUUUCCAAGGAACCACCCCCAAGCUGAGCUGCUGAGUGCACACACUGCAUUCGCUCAGACUUCGGCGUGACUCCGAUGUCUUAUACAGCCCUGGGUGCCUCUUUGCUCCCCAGUGAGGGCAGAGUAAAGACCCUCUCUCUUGGCCCAGUGGCUGGUGUCCUGACCCCCUAGGGCUGGGUCGGGAAGGAAGCUCCUAGCUCUGCCUGAUGCUAGCGACGUCAUGAGUUGCGGCAGGGGAAACACCUUUCAAUUCCUCUUUAUGUGAAACAAUUCCUUCCUCUCACCCCCCCCAGGUCAGUAGUUGCCAAAGGGACUCCUCUCUCGAGACUGGCCCUUGAGGCUGUGUUGUCCCAGGAGCCGGGGGUGGCAAUAAGACUCCUGAGCCAUAUCAGAUCUGCCAGGCCGAGAGUGGCAGACUCGCUGCACUUUGUGGUUUCGCCCGAUUCCAAGUCCAAUGCACAAACCCCCUUCUGUUCUCCAGCCUCACCGCUCCUCGGGGAGCUCGAUGGCGGAGUGGGCCAUGGGGUCCGGUGGGGCACGUAGCCGGCUCUUCCAGCCCCAGCCGCUGGCUCUCGAGGAAGCUGCGCGUUCUUCCCGGCCACUCGGCUCAUCGGAAUCCAAACAAGACGCUUCAUGGGGACAAUCUGCUGCAGGGGACUCAUGUCCCAAGGAAGGGGCUCUCUGAUGGGGGGAACCAAGGUUAAAGGCAGGCUGUGCUGUGCAGUCCCACUCGAGCUCUCCUUCUCUUCAUGCCUAGAGCAGCAGGUAAAGCUGGCCCCUGCCAUGGUCUUCUAGGCCUGACCAGAGCAAACCUUGUGAGUGGUGGUCCAAAGAUUAGCCAUUUCUGUCUGACUGACACCCGCCCCCUGUGGUAAGAAAGGGUAUUACAGCCUUAUGCCCCUCCCCUCUCUCAGCUGGAGCAUGAGCCAUGCCUGUGAUGACCUCAGCAGGUCCUGCAUUCAAAUUACUUCCAGCGUGAGCAUGUCUCCUCUGGGGAGUGGGAAUCUCUGGGAGCACAGUGGGGUGAUGGGGUUCCAGGCCUGGCUGGACUCCUGAUUGCUUGGUGGUUGUGUGGGAAGAAUCUUCACCUCCCCAGUUUGGUUUGCGCUGGUGGAACUGGGAGCUGAGUUCCUGCUGGUGGCAGCUGCAGUGCAGGCUGGGCUGGGGACCGUCUCUCACCCAGCUUUGAGCCUGGCCUGCAUGACAGCUCUCGCCAGUGGGCUGCGGCACUGGUGACUGGUGGGUCCCAUCCUUGCCAGUGCAGACAGGGCUGUCUGGGGGUCAUGCUGGGUUGUAAAGUAAGGAAAAGACAGUGCUGGUGAAAUGUUGGGUGAUGGCGCAUGGGGGAGGCUACCCCCCGGGAGCACUGCUGGAGCUGAGCAGUUGGGGUCUGGAUUUGGUCUCUGGAAGUGCCUGUGUCCCAGCCAUUGGCUUGGCUGGAUUGGCAUGGACCUUGCUUUGCCCUGGUCUUGGCAACCUGCUUGGCUAGAAGCGCAAACAGGUCAGGGGGAAAACAGUGCAAUGUUGCAGGAAAUUUAGAUGCAUCAAUGGAAGAUGUGUCUAAAUCCUCUAGACUGCUUGACAGCCUCAACCCAAAUUUAAAAAAACACUGAUCCCGCUGCACUCAUGUUACCAACAGUAACUGAAACAGAAAGUGGUUGCAAAAAGUUGUGUUCUUGUUCCCUUCAUGCAUUUUGCUCAGCCUGAAAGGAGAAAUUAGGCAGGUUGGUGUCAGUGGGUUUCACUUCCUAGUUCUCCAGAACCAGCCCAAGGUUGCAGAGAGCGAGUUGCAAACACUGCAGGAGGAGGUGUAAAACCAGACUAGGUGGUGUUCAUUGACACUUUCAGGUUGAUCCAAUUGUUAAAUUCUGUGAAACACUUCAUUUAGGAAAAAGUAGCUCUUGGGCCUAGAUGACAAGACUGUCCCGCUGAAAAAUACAAACUGAUGGCUUUGGUGUAAAUGAACCGGGAAAGAUUGUUUCAGAUGCCACGCCUCUUAUCCCUGGAGCCUCAGCAGAGAUCCUGAAAUAAACUCUGCUUGGUUUUUGAAGAACUUACAAUUCUAUGUGGGGGGAUGGGCAGAGAAAGUUUCUUGAAUAUGAUUGUAUCCUGCUCCAUCUCAUCGGAGAGGAAAAUGUCUUCUGAUACCAUUGAAAACGGGGGGUGUGAGAGAGAAAAUGAGUGUGUUUGUUAAGCAUACUGAGACCUGCCUUUUGCUGAAAGAUGCUCUGUGACCCACUGAGCUUGUCCAGAAAGAGACUGUGCGCCACAUGGACAGUGUCUGUUUCUAUGCAAGGAUAGGGUGCUGUCUCAUGCCAGUUUCUCCAGCGGGAUGCUCUGGGGAUUCCAAACAAGACGGAGUUUCCCCCUUGCAAAAAGACACGUGUAUUUUUGUAUUUUCCUUUCUCUCAGCAUCCAUGGGCUUUGGACUGGUUUUUUACACUGUAAAUUCCUGGUUCUGGAGUAUUCAGUUUGGUUUUUGUACAUUUGUAAACAUGUGUAAAUCCUUAUAUGGUGAGUGCCUGGAUGUACAUUUUAAAGCUAAAAGCAGCAAAGCAA